CAGGGGAUAGUUUAAUGAAAAUAUUAAUUUUGGAGAUUAAUGAAAAGAGUGAUCUUUCCUCUGA
Molecule: transfer RNA, 64 nt
Filed under: Cryptocephalus androgyne
Lineage: Eukaryota; Metazoa; Arthropoda; Insecta; Coleoptera; Chrysomelidae
Description: tRNA-Pro
Source: RNAcentral